This 606-nucleotide ribosomal RNA is filed under the name uncultured bacterium. Its description in RNAcentral is "bacterial SSU rRNA". It matches the Rfam family "Bacterial small subunit ribosomal RNA", at positions 338 to 951 of the family's 1533-position model. The record is from RNAcentral.
CCUACGGGAGGCAGCAGUAGGGAAUAUUGGGCAAUGGAGGCAACUCUGACCCAGCCAUGCCGCGUGCAGGAAGAAGGCGUUAUGCGUUGUAAACUGCUUUUAUAUAGGAAGAAAUAGACCUUGCGAGGUAAGUUGACGGUACUAUAUGAAUAAGCACCGGCUAACUCCGUGCCAGCAGCCGCGGUAAUACGGAGGGUGCAAGCGUUGUCCGGAUUUAUUGGGUUUAAAGGGUGCGUAGGCGGUUUAUUAAGUCAGUGGUGAAAGACGGUCGCUCAACGAUUGCAGUGCCAUUGAUACUGGUAGACUUGAGUGGGAUUGAGGUAGCUGGAAUGGAUAGUGUAGCGGUGAAAUGCAUAGAUAUUAUCCAGAACACCAAUUGCGUAGGCAAGUUACUAAGUCUCAACUGACGCUGAGGCACGAAAGUGUGGGUAUCAAACAGGAUUAGAUACCCUGGUAGUCCACACUGUAAACGAUGAUAACUAACUGUUGGCUUUCGAGUCAGUGGUACAGAGAAAUCGUUAAGUUAUCCACCUGGGGAGUCGCCGGCAACGGUGAAACUCAAAUGAAUUGAGNGNGAGAGNGCGAGGACGACGACGAGGGAGGAGG